RNAcentral lists this transfer RNA (74 nucleotides) under Phycisphaerales bacterium. RNAcentral's name for it is "tRNA-Arg". It matches the Rfam family "tRNA". Rfam says of the family: Transfer RNA (tRNA) molecules are approximately 80 nucleotides in length. Lineage: Bacteria; Pseudomonadati; Planctomycetota; Phycisphaerae; Phycisphaerales. The record is from RNAcentral.
GCCCGGGUAGCUCAGCUGGAUAGAGCAGUGCUUUCCUAAAGCACAGGUCACAGGUUCGAGUCCUGUUCCGGGUG